RNAcentral lists this long non-coding RNA (2630 nucleotides) under Ficedula albicollis (Collared flycatcher). RNAcentral describes it as "lncRNA (ENSFALG00000019028.2)". The record is from RNAcentral. Lineage: Eukaryota; Metazoa; Chordata; Aves; Passeriformes; Muscicapidae.
UCGGGGCACGGCCGGCUGCAGGAGCCGCCAUCCGGAGCCGCCGCUCUCAGGGAUGCUCAGGGUGGGAUUUUUGGGGUGUCUGCAGGGCCGGGAGUUCCCUACGGGUCCCUCGCAGCUCAGGAUAUUUAUUCCAGCAUUCUGUAAUCCAGGCUCGGCCGGGUUUGGCACAUCCCCACUGCGAGGGGAGAAACGGGCUGGGGGUGCAGGGCUGGACCAGUAUUCCCAGCACGGACUACCGUGGAGCACUGCCCCCAGCAUGGACCACUGCCUCCAGCAUGGAGCUCUGCCCCAGCAAAUUCCAGUAUUCCCAGCCUGGAUCACCAUGGACCACUGGUCCCACAGUAGGUACUUCCAUCACUACAAUAUGAUGGAUAAUAUUUCAUAGGGUUUUUAUGCAAUGCUAAAUGUUACUAUAAGUGAUACGUGAGAAAAGUUAUCAAAUCUUUAUUUAUUGCCUAUAAAUGUUCAGAGAGAAAAAUGACAUCUUUGGUAAUUUUUUUUUUUCUGCACAUCUAAUUUUGCACAGUGCUAAAAAUGUUCGGUUGGAAAUUAAUUAAUUUAUACUUGCAUAAUUUUAGUAUAUAUAGCAUGCAUUAUUUGCAAUUGUUUGGCACAAUCAUGAGUCAUCUCUAGCAUGGACCACCAUGGACCACUGCCCCAGCACAUUCCAGAAUUCCCAGCAUGGACCACCAUGGACCACGGAUCAUCCCUAGCAUGGACCACCAUGGACCCACUGCCCCAGCACAUUCCAGAAUUCCCAGCAUGGACCACCAUGGACCACGGAUCAUCCCUAGCAUGGACCACCAUGGACCCACUGCCCCAGCACAUUCCAGAAUUCCCAGCAUGGACCACCAUGGACCACGGAUCAUCCCUAGCAUGGACCACCAUGGACCCCCUCCCCAGCACGCACCACUGCCUGGUCUCAGUACACCCCCCUGCCUCAGCAUGUCCCAGCAUGGACCACCAUCCCCAGCACAGCCCCCAGCCCCAGCAUGGAGCACCUCAGAGCAGCUCCCUGAGCCCCAGCACAGCUUGGAGAGCAGCAGGACACUGGAUGGGUUUGGGCCCUGGUUCCACAUCCCAUGAGGGCCCAGCCCCCUCCCUGCCCCAGGGAUCACCACAGCUGCAUUUUCCAGUGGGGAAACUGAGGCACACAGUGACAGCACUUUGGCUGAGCUGAGCCUGUGCCAGAGCAGGGACCUGGAGCCAGCCCUGGGGGAUCAGCCAGGUGAGGGGCACCCACAGCUCCUGGGAAUCACCUGGCACUGCCCCUGCCUUGGCUGUUCAGGGCAGGGAGGCUCCACCUCCCUCUCAGGCCAGCAAGGACCAAGCCCUGAGAGGAGAAAUGCCAUGGACUGGAACCAGGCACUCCAGCCUGGAGAGACAGGAUGAUCCAGGAGCCUCACCACUUGUGCAAGGAGAGAUGGGAAGCUCAAGGGCAAUGCCAGGAACAAUUGGGUGAUGCAGAGAAAGGUGCACAAGGAGGAGCUGGCCUUGGCCAAAGGGAGGGACAAGGGAAAGAUUGCAGAAGUUGUGUUUUGUAAUAGUCUUAAGUGAGAAAAAACCUACUUUGUUUUCCAAAUUGGGCACAUGUUGCUGCCUCCCCCCUGCCCAUUGCUCCCUCAUCAUCCCAGCAGAGUCCAGGAGAAGAGGAUACCAGGAGAGGAACCCAACACUGAGCAGAACCAGCAGCUGCUGACCCUGGGGAACCUGAAUAAUCCAUAAAAAGCAGGAAACCCCAGGAGGUGAGUUGCCUUCCCUGCAGCAGAAGCCUGGCCCUGGCACAAGGUGCUGUCCUGGGGGAGGGCUGUGCUGAGAUCCCCACCCACACCUCCCCAGCCAGUUCCCCUCUCCCACCAGGCCUGGGAGAGCAAGCUCAUCUUCCCCCCACAAAAACAGAGUGGUUUUAUUUUUAUGGUAUGAUUAAAUCUAUUUUAUAGAACUUCAGCUGUAACAGAGAAGCUUCAAGAAACACACACACACAAAAAAACCCAGAUACACGGGGUAUUUCCCUGCCUUAUAAUUCUCAUCCUGUGCUUCCUCAACUCACAAACCAGCAAAAUUAAAUAAAAUAAAAUAGGUAAUAAAAUAAAAUACUUGUUUCUGCCCAGACCUGAAGGACCCCACAUGGAAAACCUUCAAUGCUGGUCUUGCUUUUUCCUCCCCACCUAAGCUCAAUUAACUGGGAUGCCCACCCAACUCCCACUGAACAGCACUGGGAAAGUCCCAAGGGUCCCUGUGCACACUCAGGCAGCUCCUCUGGAAGCAGCAACCCCCAAAUUCCCCCGUCCUGCUCAGCACUCCACAGGAGCCCCUCCAACCCUGCUCAGGACCUAAACCCCCCCAGCCUCCUUGACUGAUCAUGGGACCCCCAAAACUCCCUCAGCACCUCAAAGCUCCUGACCCUCUGCAGAGAAGUGAGGGGUCCCCAGCCCUAGUGCCCCCGUGUCCCGCAGCCAGAGCCCCUGAUUUCAGUGAGGAGGGGCAGUCACUGACCUGAGUCCCUGCAGGGACAGGGGGGACAGGGGUUUGGCCCAGGAGAGCCAGGCAGGGGCAUGUCACUGCAGAGGGGCCAGAGUCACCCCUGCCACAGCCCUUCCUGCUGCUGGGGGACACCAGGACCUGUCCCC